Molecule: long non-coding RNA, 291 nt
Filed under: Phascolarctos cinereus (koala)
Lineage: Eukaryota; Metazoa; Chordata; Mammalia; Diprotodontia; Phascolarctidae
Description: lncRNA (ENSPCIG00000017021.2)
Source: RNAcentral
AUAAAAAAAAAAACAAUAGCCUUAAGGAUCAAAGCCUAGAUAGGGGAAUUAAAAGGGCUUGAUCUGGGAGCACCUGGACAGAAGUUUUUGCUGCUUUCAACUUAUGCCAGGUUAAGCGAAAAGCUGUAAAUGUUACCAGAGAAGAGGAUCUUGGCCUAGAAUACAAGGAGGAGUAGAUGGACUAGAAGAAGAUACAUUUUUGGAACUAAGCAGGAUCACUUUGAACCUUUUAUGCAGUUAUCUAGGCAAAAGUAUGCAGCCUGAGGCACCUCAGUGACAUCUAUCUUCUAA